RNAcentral lists this ribosomal RNA (253 nucleotides) under uncultured bacterium. RNAcentral describes it as "partial 16S ribosomal RNA". It matches the Rfam family "Bacterial small subunit ribosomal RNA", at positions 524 to 776 of the family's 1533-position model. The record is from RNAcentral.
UACGUAGGGUGCAAGCGUUAAUCGGAAUUACUGGGCGUAAAGCGUGCGCAGGCGGUUCUAUAAGACAGAUGUGAAAUCCCCGGGCUCAACCUGGGAACUGCAUUUGUGACUGUAGAGCUGGAGUACGGUAGAGGGGGAUGGAAUUCCGCGUGUAGCAGUGAAAUGCGUAGAUAUGCGGAGGAACACCGAUGGCGAAGGCAGCCCCCUGGGAUAACACUGACGCUCAUGCACGAAAGCGUGGGGAGCAAACAGG